Molecule: non-coding RNA, 1286 nt
Organism: Schizosaccharomyces pombe (fission yeast)
Lineage: Eukaryota; Fungi; Ascomycota; Schizosaccharomycetes; Schizosaccharomycetales; Schizosaccharomycetaceae
Source: the annotation of a GenBank genome assembly
UUACCAUGACGCUUACCACCAAUCUCUAAUUUGGCACCAUGAGCAAUGCCACUCUCAAUAUAACUAACAAUACGUUCAUACUGUUGCUUACUAACUUGAGCACCUUGGAAGGUAUCUUCGGCGAAAGGAUCACCAACCUUCAAAGUCUUGGCCUUGGCAACCAUGCGUUUAAUGAACUCAUCGUAAACAUCCUCUUGCACGUAGACACGGCUACCUGCACAACAGACUUGACCAGAGUUGUAAAAGAUACCAUAGUUAGUCCAGACAGCAGCUGAGUCCAAAUCGGCAUCGUUGAAAACAAUAUUGGGAGACUUACCACCCAAUUCAAGAGUGACCUUCUUCAGGUUGGAGGAGGCGGCAGCACGCAUAACCAUACGACCGACACCGGUAGAACCGGUAAAGGCCACCUUAUCAAUGUCCAUGUGAGAACUAAUAGCGUUACCACAACGGCGACCAUCACCGCUGAGAACAUUGAUGACACCUGGAGGGAAGCCACAUUCAGGAACAAACUUGGUAAGACACAGAGCGGAAAGAGGAGUGAGUUCGGCAGUCUUCAAAAUAAUAGUAUUACCACAAGCGACGGCAGGAGCAAUUUUCCAAGCGCACAUCAAGAAAGGGAAAUUCCAGGGGAUGAUUUGACCACAUACACCAAUGGGUUCGUGACGAGUAUAGGCAAAACGCUUAAUGUCGGUUUCAAUGGUUUGACCAUAAUCCUUAUCGGCCCAACCACCAUAAUAACGGAAACAAUCGGCAGCAGCUUGAACGUCACCUCUAGCCAAAGUGAUACUCUUACCAUUGUCAAGAGUCUCAAUAGAAGCGAGGUAUUCCAAGUUUUGCUCGAUACAGUCAGCGAGACGGGAGAGGCAACGUCCACGUUGAGCGCUGGAAAACUUGCGCCAUGGAGCAUCGGUCUGGAAAGCGGCACGAGCAACUUUCACGGCGAUAUCGACAUCCUCUUCGUCGGCGUCAGCUACCUCACAAAUAAGUUUCUCAGUAGAAGGAGAGUAAACCUUCACACGACCACCGUGAACGGAAUCGACAUGUUGGUUAUUGAUAAAGAGACCGACAGGUUGAAUGUAAGUUUUUCCUGUAGGAACGGUAAUUUCGACGUGAUCAACGAGUUUUGUAGACAUUUUGAAAAGUUUGUAUUAAAAAAUUGAGAAAAGGGGUCGUUGUCGUAAAUGAGUAAGAGUAAUUAAAAAAUUAACUAGAAAAAAAAAAAAACCAAAGAUAAAAAAUGAAGUAGUGGGAUAAAUUUGGCAGAGCUGAAUUGAAAUGCAAACACA